AGGAGAGUGGUGCAGUGAAAGUGUGCUGGGCCAAUAAUCCAGAGGCCCGUGGAACGAAACCACGCUCUGCUA
Molecule: non-coding RNA, 72 nt
Organism: Trichonephila clavipes
Lineage: Eukaryota; Metazoa; Arthropoda; Arachnida; Araneae; Nephilidae
Source: the annotation of a GenBank genome assembly